RNAcentral lists this long non-coding RNA (414 nucleotides) under Capsicum annuum. RNAcentral describes it as "long non-coding RNA (CANN_LNC000498)". The record is from RNAcentral. Lineage: Eukaryota; Viridiplantae; Streptophyta; Magnoliopsida; Solanales; Solanaceae.
GAACGAGAUUUCAGGGGCAAAAGCUUACAUCUUACCCUCUUCAAACCUAUUCUCUUCAUUUCUGUUAAUGUGUUGAAUUAGUUGGUUCUCUUGUAAUAUUCAGACCUCUAAAUUGGAUUCUCUUGUAAUAUUCACACCCUUUUAUUUUCUAUGCUUGAAAUGACACCACAUUUUGGUUGCCUAUGCAGCUGUUCCUAUUAUGAUCUGCAAUUUAAACCUAUUCUCUUCAUUUCUGUUAAUGUGUUGAAUUAGUUGGUUCUCUUGUAAUAUUCAGACCUCUAAAUUGGAUUCUCUUGUAAUAUUCACAACCUUUUAUUUUCUAUGCUUGAAAUGACACCACAUUUUGGUUGCCAAUGCAGCUGUUCCUAUUAUGAUCUGCAAUUUUUAUGAGUUGAGGGUAAUCUGAGUAAUAUA